UGAACUCAUUGAGAGUCGAGGCAGCGCAUGUUUCAUGCCAGUGCUUGGAUACUCAAAUUUUCUCAGCACCUGAGGUGAAGUAGGACCACCCGCUGAACUUAAGCAUAUCAUUAAGCGGAGGAAAAGAAACUAACAAGGAUUCCCUCAGUACGGGCGACGGAAGCGGGAAAAGCCCACAGUGGUAAUCUCCGUUCUUCGAACGGCGAAUUGUGACCUGAAGGCAGUCAGCCUAACCGAACGUCCUGACGCAGAAGUGUCGCCGAGGCGGCCGCCAAAGAGGGUGAGAGCCCCGUCUGCGGUGUCAGGAUGCGGAGAGGUUGGAGGUCAAAGAGUCGUGUACUUUGAUACUAGUGCACAAAGCGGGAGAUAAACUUCUUCUAAGGCUAAAUAAACGUAGGAGACCGAUAGCGAACAAGUACUGUGAAGGAAAGAUGAAAAGCACUUUGGAAAGAGCGUCAAAAGACUUGAAAUCGUUGAGGCGGACCCGGUAGAAAUGAAUUCUGGGGUCAUUCCCUGCUGGUCCUGCAUUCGGGGCAAGUUGGGGAUGGCAGCAAGACAAGAUGGAGUCGUUCGAUGUCAGAGGCGGUGCGUGAGGGGCUUCGGCUCAGUGCGUGUUGGCUGGGUGUUGAGCGGCUUGAGGGGCCUUGUGCGAUCUUGUCAAAAUGGUUUUUACCGACUCGUCUUGAAACACGAACCAAGGAGUCUAAGACUAACGCGAGUGUGGUGGUGGAGAAACCAACACGCGAAAUGAAAGUGAAUGAUGCCAAAUUUAUGCAGCAUCGACCGACUUACAUCUACAGGUGAAGGUUUGAGUAAGAGCGUUAUUCUUAGGACCCGAAAGAUGGUGAACUAUGCCUGUGUAGGGUGAAGUCAGGGAAAACUCUGAUGGAAGCUCGUAGCGAUACUGACGUGCAAAUCGUUCGUCUAACAUGGGUAUAGGGGCGAAAGACUAAUCGAACCAUCUAGUAGCUGGUUCCCUCCGAAGUUUCCCUCAGGAUAGCUGGGACAAUUACACAGUUUUAUUAGGUAAAGCGAAUGAUUAGAGGCAUCUGGGAUAAUAUGUCCUAGACCUAUUCUCAAACUUUAAAUUGGUAAGAACUCCUGUCUUUACUUAAAUGAAGCAGGAGGUUCAAUGUGUGUCCUUAGUGGGCCAUUUUUGGUAAGCAGAACUGGCGAUGAGGGUUGCUCCUAACGUCGGGUUAAGGUGCCAAACUACACGCUCAUCAGAAACUACAAAGGGUGUUAGUUCAUUAAGACAGCAGGACGGUGGCCAUGGAAGUCGGAACCCGCUAAGGAGUGUGUAACAACUCACCUGCCGAAUG
RNAcentral lists this ribosomal RNA (1322 nucleotides) under Eutintinnus macilentus. RNAcentral's name for it is "eukaryotic LSU rRNA". It matches the Rfam family "Eukaryotic large subunit ribosomal RNA", at positions 1 to 1303 of the family's 3401-position model. Lineage: Eukaryota; Ciliophora; Spirotrichea; Tintinnida; Tintinnidae. The record is from RNAcentral.